Molecule: long non-coding RNA, 548 nt
Organism: Ctenopharyngodon idella (grass carp)
Lineage: Eukaryota; Metazoa; Chordata; Actinopteri; Cypriniformes; Xenocyprididae
Exons: 3
Source: RefSeq, a predicted model, not a curated record
UAACUGUAUGUCAGAUGUGGUCCUUCUAGUGAAUAUUACUAUUUUCAUUUUUAUGAAGCUGCAUUGCUGUGGAUACAAAGGCUAUGAUGACUUCACACGUUCCGCUUUGGUAAAGUCGAACUCGUAUCCCAAACAAUGCUGCGGUGAAUAUACAAAAGCAACUUCAACAUGUAGUAAAGAACAAGCUGAGACAAAGAAAGUAAGGGGCUGCAUUCAUAUCCUGUUGAACGAAAGUUUUCCCAUUUCUGGAGCUUUGUCCUUUUUAAUCGGGAUUCUAGAGAUUGUUGCCUUGGUCGUUUCCCUGAAAGUCUACCGAUGCUUGAGACGCAUACCUAAUCUCCCCAACCCCUUUGAAAGUAAUCUGUGAUAAAGAACUUGCACACAUUUAUAAAAAGUUGUUUGUGUUUUAUUAUUGCUUUUGCAUUUAUUUACAGUGCCUUCAGAGUAAAAAAAAAAAAUCAUAUUUUGAUUAUGAAAGAUGAUGUGUGAAAAAAAAAAUUUCUUAAAAAUAUUACUUGAUUUCAGUUUUAUAAUGUCUAUCAAAUAUA